UUAGUCGGUCUCGGAGCAAACGAAGUGAAGCAUGUUAUUUAAUACGACAAUACGCGUAUAACCUUACCAGACCUUGCAUAUCUAGCUCUCUCUAUUUUUUUAAUUUGAGUGAGUAUAUUUUUAAUCUUUUUUGAAAAUAAUACGCAGAUACAGGUGUUGCAUGGCUGUCGUC
Molecule: ribosomal RNA, 172 nt
Filed under: Pleurotus sp. PLHP-9
Lineage: Eukaryota; Fungi; Basidiomycota; Agaricomycetes; Agaricales; Pleurotaceae
Description: partial small subunit ribosomal RNA
Source: RNAcentral